This 497-nucleotide ribosomal RNA is filed under the name uncultured bacterium. Its description in RNAcentral is "partial 16S ribosomal RNA". It matches the Rfam family "Bacterial small subunit ribosomal RNA", at positions 28 to 507 of the family's 1533-position model. The record is from RNAcentral.
GAUGAACGCUGGCGGCGUGCCUAAUACAUGCAAGUCGAGCGAACGGACGCGAAGCUUGCUUCUCUGUUGUUAGCGGAGGACGGGUGAGUAACACGUGGAUAACCUACCUAUCAGACUGGGAUAACUUCGGGAAACCGGAGCUAAUACCGGAUGAUAUUUUGAACCGCAUGGUUCAAAAGUGAAAGACGGUCUUGCUGUCACUUCUAGCUGGAUCCGCGCUGCAUUAGCUAGUUGGUAAGGUAACGGCUUACCACGGCAACGAUGCAUAGCCGACCUGUGAGGGUGAUCGGCCACACUGGAGCUGAGACACGGUCCAGACUCCUGCGGUAGGCAGCAGUAGGGAAUCGUCCGCAAUAGGCGAAAGCCUGACGGAGCAACGCCGCGUGAGUGAUGAAGGUCUUCGGAGCGUAAUACUCUGUUAUUAGGGAAGAACAUAUGUGUAAGUAACUGUGCACAUCUUGACGGUACCUAAUCAGAAAGCCACGGCUAACUACGUG